UGGGGAAUUUUGGACAAUGGGCGCAAGCCUGAUCCAGCAAUGCCGCGUGCAGGAUGAAGGCCUUCGGGUUGUAAACUGCUUUUGUACGGAGCGAAAAGGUUUUAACUAAUACUUAAAGCUAAUGACGGUACCGUAAGAAUAAGCACCGGCUAACUACGUGCCAGCAGCCGCGGUAAUACGUAGGGUGCAAGCGUUAAUCGGAAUUACUGGGCGUAAAGCGUGCGCAGGCGGUUUUGUAAGACAGAUGUGAAAUCCCCGGGCUCAACCUGGGACCUGCAUUUGUGACUGCAAAGCUAGAGUACGGCAGAGGGGGAUGGAAUUCCGCGUGUAGCAGUGAAAUGCGUAGAUAUGCGGAGGAACACCGAUGGCGAAGGCAAUCCCCUGGGCCUGUACUGACGCUCAUGCACGAAAGCGUGGGGAGCAAACAGG
This 429-nucleotide ribosomal RNA is filed under the name uncultured bacterium. RNAcentral's name for it is "bacterial SSU rRNA". It matches the Rfam family "Bacterial small subunit ribosomal RNA", at positions 355 to 776 of the family's 1533-position model. The record is from RNAcentral.